CCUUGAGGGGGCUUGCAGCUGUCCAGCUCUUCUGCUUGGGCCAUGGUCGCUUAGCAUUUCUAUUCAGCACUUUAGGCGCCGGAACCACUGAGCUAAAUCCCUGGCCCCUAUUCAGCACUUUUGAAUGCGCUGCAGACUUGGCAACCUGUCACCCGCUGAGAUUGACUGGAAGUGAAGAAGUUAAAUGAGGCUCUAAAGAGGUGUAGGAACAGAGGUCCAGGAGGAUCAUCCAAAGUGCCCAACUUGUUGAAUGGGGUUCAGAUCUGUGCUAACCAGGAGACCUCUGGUCUGGAGGCUGAGAAGUUCAAGAUCAAUGUGCUGCAGAGUCCGGUGAGGCAGCUCUUGGCUUGAAAGAUGGCACCUUGCUGGCACCUCCUCCAGAGGGAACGAAUGCUACAUCUUCACAUGGCGGAAGGAGUUGAUAAAUGUGAGCACCAGAUAAACAUGAUGCCUGGGCUUAUUAUUGAAGAACGGCAACCCUGCGUGAAGUGGCAGUUCUGUGCCAGUCUGCAGCCCUGGAUGGCUUUGCGUUGCUUAAGGAUAAACAGGGAUCGAACUUGGGUCCUUCCACUUGCGAGGCAGGUGGCAGAACCACCGAGGUAAUCUUUAACUCUUUUAAAGCCUGUAUUUCAGAGUCAGUAAGAACAUUCACACUGUUGUACAGCUGUCAUCACCACCAUCUCCAGAACGUUCAUCAUCCCCAAUGAAACUCUGUCCCCGAUAAACAACCCCUCCACUCUCCUUUCUCCAUCUCCAGCCCUGCUACGCCCUAUUCUGUUUUCUGCU
RNAcentral lists this long non-coding RNA (786 nucleotides) under Heterocephalus glaber (naked mole-rat). RNAcentral describes it as "lncRNA (ENSHGLG00000035906.1)". The record is from RNAcentral. Lineage: Eukaryota; Metazoa; Chordata; Mammalia; Rodentia; Bathyergidae.